GACGAACGCUGGCGGCGUGCUUAACACAUGCAAGUCGAACGGAAAGGCCCUGCUUUUGUGGGGUGCCCGAGUGGCGAACGGGUGAGUAACACGUGAGUAACCUGCCCUUGACUUUGGGAUAACUUCAGGAAACUGGGGCUACUACCGGAUAGGAGCUCCUGCUGCAUGGUGGGGGUUGGAAAGUUUCGGCGGUUGGGGAUGGACUCGCGGCUUACCAGCUUGUUGGUUGGGUAGUGGCUUACCAAGGCUUUGACGGGUAGCCGGCAUGAGAGGGUGACCGCGCACAUUGGGACUGAGAGAGGGCCCAGACUCCAACAGUAGACAGCAGGGGGAAAUAUUGCACAGUGAGCGGGAGCGUGAUGAAGAAACGCCGCGUGCGGGAUGACGGCCUUCGGGUUGUGAACCGCAUUCGCCUGUGACGAAGCGUGAGUGACGGUAAUGGGUGAAGAAGCACCGGCUAACUACGUG
This 468-nucleotide ribosomal RNA is filed under the name uncultured bacterium. RNAcentral describes it as "partial 16S ribosomal RNA". It matches the Rfam family "Bacterial small subunit ribosomal RNA", at positions 28 to 507 of the family's 1533-position model. The record is from RNAcentral.